This 261-nucleotide unclassified non-coding RNA is filed under the name uncultured Pleosporales. RNAcentral's name for it is "sequence contains 5.8S rRNA gene, ITS2, 28S rRNA gene". The stretch from base 1 to 52 matches the Rfam family "5.8S ribosomal RNA", at positions 103 to 154 of the family's 154-position model. Lineage: Eukaryota; Fungi; Ascomycota; Dothideomycetes; Pleosporales. The record is from RNAcentral.
AACGCACAUUGCGCCCUUUGGUAUUCCAAAGGGCAUGCCUGUUCGAGCGUCAUUUGUACCCUCAAGCUUUGCUUGGUGUUGGGCGUCUUUUUGUCUUUGGCUCGCCCAGAGACUCGCCUUAAAACGAUUGGCAGCCGGCCUCCUGGUUUCGCAGCGCAGCACAUUUUUGCGCUUGCAAUCAGCAUACAGAGGUUGGCAAUCCAUCAAGACCUUUUUUUUACCUUUGACCUCGGAUCAGGUAGGGAUACCCGCUGAACUUAA